AAUUAAAAAGCGAUAAUUUGCAUUAAGUUUCGACCUUAAAAUCUGGUUUUUUUAAAAAAUCUUUAAUUA
RNAcentral lists this transfer RNA (69 nucleotides) under Succinea erythrophana. RNAcentral describes it as "tRNA-Arg". The record is from RNAcentral. Lineage: Eukaryota; Metazoa; Mollusca; Gastropoda; Stylommatophora; Succineidae.